UAUUCUCCCUUCCUGGGGGGGAUGAGAAUCCCCGACCGGGGUUCGACAACGGGCAACUGCCCGCUGGACAGACCACGAAUAACAUGAGUGGGCUGCCCGCAGGGCGAGCGAAGCGAGUCAAUCCCCCCCUCACCGCCA
Molecule: small RNA, 138 nt
Filed under: Kosakonia sp. H7A
Lineage: Bacteria; Pseudomonadati; Pseudomonadota; Gammaproteobacteria; Enterobacterales; Enterobacteriaceae
Description: RtT sRNA
Rfam family: RtT RNA
About the family: This family represents a bacterial cis-regulatory element known as RtT RNA. The exact function of RtT is unknown although it is thought that it may be involved in changing the cellular response in relation to amino acid starvation.
Source: RNAcentral